Molecule: ribosomal RNA, 446 nt
Filed under: uncultured bacterium
Lineage: Bacteria
Description: bacterial SSU rRNA
Rfam family: Bacterial small subunit ribosomal RNA
Source: RNAcentral
GGUAUGGGAUGAGCUUGCGUCCGAUUAGCUAGUUGGCGGGGCAACGGCCCACCAAGGCGACGAUCGGUAGCCGGCCUGAGAGGGUGAUCGGCCACAUUGGGACUGAGAUACGGCCCAGACUCCUACGGGAGGCAGCAGUAGGGAAUAUUGCACAAUGGGGGGAACCCUGAUGCAGCAACGCCACGUGUGGGAAGAAGCAUUUCGGUGUGUAAACCACUGUCGUGAGGGAAUAAGGCCUGUUCUAGGACAGGAUUGAAUGUACCUCGAAAGGAAGCACCGGCAAACUUCGUGCCAGCAGCCGCGGUAGUACGAGGGGUGCAAGCGUUGUUCGGAAUCACUGGGCGUAAAGGGAGCGUAGGCGGAGAUUCAAGCGGAUUGUACAAUCCCGGGGCCCAACCCCGGACCUGCAGUCCGAACUGGAUCUCUUGGAUAGUUCAGGGGCAGGC